GACGAACGCUGGCGGCGUGCCUAAUACAUGCAAGUUGAGCGCUGAAGGUUGGUACUUGUACCAACUGAAUGAGCAGCGAACGGGUGAGUAACGCGUGGGGAAUCUGCCUUUGAGCGGGGGACAACAUUUGGAAACGAAUGCUAAUACCGCAUAAAAACUUUAAACACAAGUUUUAAGUUUGAAAGAUGCAAUUGCAUCACUCAAAGAUGAUCCCGCGUUGUAUUAGCUAGUUGGUGAGGUAAAGGCUCACCAAGGCGAUGAUACAUAGCCGACCUGAGAGGGUGAUCGGCCACAUUGGGACUGAGACACGGCCCAAACUCCUACGGGAGGCAGCAGUAGGGAAUCUUCGGCAAUGGACGAAAGUCUGACCGAGCAACGCCGCGUGAGUGAAGAAGGUUUUCGGAUCGUAAAACUCUGUUGGUAGAGAAGAACGUUGGUGAGAGUGGAAAGCUCAUCAAGUGACGGUAACUACCCAGAAAGGGACGGCUAACUACGUG
Molecule: ribosomal RNA, 497 nt
Filed under: uncultured bacterium
Lineage: Bacteria
Description: partial 16S ribosomal RNA
Rfam family: Bacterial small subunit ribosomal RNA
Source: RNAcentral